RNAcentral lists this unclassified non-coding RNA (635 nucleotides) under Hevea brasiliensis (rubber tree). Lineage: Eukaryota; Viridiplantae; Streptophyta; Magnoliopsida; Malpighiales; Euphorbiaceae. The record is from RNAcentral.
AACGAACAGAAACUCUAUGAUUACACAAAGAAAGCCACGCUUCCAGUACAAGCUAGGUUUAAAAAAAAAAAUGGACUCCUAAAUCCUAAUAACCUGCUAUACUUACAGUAAUCAAGCCUAUAUUAAAAAGAGAUGAUAUAGAUAAUUAGUUAACUAAAGAUCAUGGUACAGGAUAAGACUUGUUUUUACACAUGCACUUAUAAGCCAUAGGACAAGUCUCAGCCUCUGCAAGUGAUGCACAGAAAAAGCUCACCCUUACGAGCCUACAUGGGCGGCAUGACCCACAUGCAUGGGAACAAUCAGGAAGUCUUGACCCUGCAAUCUGGACUGUGUCAGGUCCUCUUCUCUUUGUUGGCCUCAUUUCCCUGUAGAAACUUGGAUUUGCUACUACCACAUCUUGUGUCCUAGGCUGUGAAGAAUGGUGAUGCCCACGCUGUGUCCGUGGCCCGCCAAUGUGCCUUGAAGAUAUUACAGCAGGAAGAGAGAGAAGAGCAAUGACUAAUAGAGCAACACAAACAGAACCUUUCAUGGCUUUUGAUGAAAUUUUUAUGCUUCCGCUGUGUUUCUAUGUUUUCCUUUAGUUUAGCUAGAUAUGGCAAGUAUAUGAAGCAGAACACAGGUAAAAGGAAUAUAUA